UCUUACUAUUAAUACCUUUAGUAAAUACAUCAGCUAGUUGUUCACUACUAGGAACAAAAGGCACAAUGAUAAGAUCCAUAUCUAGCUUCUCUUUGAUGAAGUGUCGAUCGAUCUCCACAUACUUACAUAUGCCCAAUUUGUAAAUAAUAGGAUGAAACGUCUUACUAUUAAUACCUUUAGUAAAUACAUCAGCUAGUUGUUCACUACUAGGAACAAAAGGCACAAUGAUAAGAUCCAUAUCUAGCUUCUCUUUGAUGAAGUGUCGAUCGAUCUCCACAUACUUACAUAUGCCCAAUUUGUAAAUAAUAGGAUGAAACGUCUUACUAUUAAUACCUUUAGUAAAUACAUCAGCUAGUUGUUCACUACUAGGAACAAAAGGCACAAUGAUAAGAUCCAUAUCUAGCUUCUCUUUGAUGAAGUGUCGAUCGAUCUCCACAUACUUACAUAUGCCCAAUUUGUAAAUAAUAGGAUGAAACGUCUUACUAUUAAUACCUUUAGUAAAUACAUCAGCUAGUUGUUCACUACUAGGAACAAAAGGCAUAAUGAUAAGAUCCAUAUCUAGCUUCUCUUUGAUGAAGUGUUGAUCGAUCUCCACAUACUUGGUUCGAUCAUGUUGGACAAAGUUGUGAGUAAUGCUAAUGAUAGAUUUGCUGCCACAAAAGAGCUUUAUAGGAAGGGCGGUGGGGAUAGCCAAAUCUGUGAGAAGACCAUGAAGCCAUAGAAGCUUACAAAUGCCAUGUGCCAUAGCACGGAACCUGCUUUGGCACUUGAAUGGGCAACCAUAGCUUGCUUCUUGCUUCGCCAUGUAACAAGGUUACCACCAACAAAGGUGCAACAACCAAUAGUAGACCUGCGGUCAUCAGAGGAACCUGCCCAAUCAGCAUCCAUGAAAGCCUCCACCCUAAGGUGAUCAUGAGGAGAAAAAAGAUGCCACGUCAUGGGGAAGAUUUCAAGUACCGAAGAAUACGUAACACAACUUCCAUGUGAGUUGAGUAGGGAUCAUGCAUGCACUGGCUAACUAUGCUGACAUAAAUGCUAUGUCAUGGAGUGUAUGAGAAAGAUAGAUCAAGCGCCACACUAAUCUUUGAUAUCUCCCGUUAUCCGCAAGAUCACCUACUCAGGUGACCGUUAGCUUCAAUAGGAGUGCCUACCAGCUUACACCUCAACAUGCCUAUCUCAGAAAGAAGAUCAAUCAGAUACUUUCUCUGAGACAAGUAGAUCCCACAAGACUUGACAAUUUCAAUGCCAAGGAAGUAACGAAGCUGUCCUAGAUCUUUGAUAUCAAAUUCCUCACUCAAGUAUCUUUUGAGGCGAGAGAUUUCUGCCAGAUCAUCACCGGUAACAAUAAUAUCAUCUACAUAGACUAUUAGGAUAGUAAUCUUCCCACCAGAUCUUUUGAUGAAUAGAGUGUGGUUGGUAUUGCUUUGAGAGUAGCCUGUAGCAACUAUAGCCUUAUGGAAACGCCCAAACCAAGCACAAGGGGAUUGCUUUAGCCCAUACAAUGCAUGUUUCAGCUUGCAUACCUUCCUUUGGGUUUUGGAGCAAGUGAACCCAGGAUGAAUGUCCAUAUACACUUCCUCCUCAAGUUCCCGAUGAAGGAAGACAUUUUUCACAUCUAACUACUGGAGAUCCCAAUCUAAGUUAGCGGCACAAGCUAAGAUAACACGAAUUGUGUUCAUCUUAGCAACUGGAGCAAAAGUCUCCUAGUAGUCAAUCCCAUAAGUCUGAGUGAAGCCCUUGGCAAUAAGUCUGGCCUUAUACCGAUCCACUGUACCAUCAGCCUUAUGUUUUACUGUGAAGACCCACUUACACCCAACUGUCUUCUUUUAUGAUGGAAGACAAACCCGAUCGCAUGUGUCAUUCUUCUUCAGAGCCUACAUCUCUUCAACUAUAGCUGCCUGCCAUUUCCACACUCGCUUCUUACCAGGUAUAGGGAAUGGAUACAGAGGAAACUGAAGACAUAAAACCAUAGCAGGAAGGAGAAAGUGAGUUAUAAGAAACAGUUUUAGCAAUAGGAUGUAAAGUACAAGACCUAGUGUCUUUACGAACAGCAAUAGGCAGCUCAAGGGAUGGAUGAACAGAAAGAGAACUGGCAUGGCAGGGUAGAUGUUGGAUGUGUAGUGGUCUAAGUCUGCUGUCCACGACUAUAAACACGUAUCUCUGGCCGAGGCAAUGCAGGAGUGUCACUCUCCCCUUGAAACGGGAUACUGGCAAGGAUAACAAGUUCAAGAGGCGGCCAUCUUCCACAAUGGAAGGUGACUCCUCCUGAAGGUGUCAUAGUGUAUUAAGAUGCAGAUUCAUGAAAGACAAUAUCCAUAGUCACAAACCAACGCUGAGUGGGAGGAUGAAAACACUGAUAACCUUUCUGAGUAGGAGCAUACCUUCGAAAAAUGUAGUAGAGACCACGAUGAUCAAAUUUUCCAUGAGGAUGAUGAUCACGUGUAUAGCAAACACUACCGAAUACCUUAGGAGGAACAGGAAAAGCAACGGAACUUUGGAGAAGAUCCAGAGGGAAGCUGAAGGAAUGGACUUGAGAAGGCAUUCGGUUGAUAAGAAAGGCAGUAGUGAGAAUUGCGUCACUCCAGUAUUGGGGAAGAACAUGCAUCUCAAACAUAAGAGAGCAUGCUACCGCACAAAGGUGGCGAUUCUUCCACUCAGCAACCCCAUUCUAAGCCGGAGUAUCCACACUAGUCUGAUGGAUCAUCCCAUGAUUGGAAAGGUAAGCCUGAAAGGACCCUUCAAAGUAUUCAUGACCAUUGUCGCUUCGAAAGAUCUUAAUGGUAGCAUUGAAUCGAGUUUACAGUGAAACAGCUGAAAGCAAUAGAGGGUCUCGCCCUUAGUUUGCAUCAUAUAAACCCAAGUGGUCCAAGAAUGACAAUUAAUAGAAGAGACAAACCACCGAUAACCAUUGAUAGACACAUAGCGGGAUGGACCUCAGAUAUCAAAAUGUAUCAAUGAAAAAGGAGUCACUUUCAUUUCUAGAAACAAAAUUAGUGAUAUGGGUUUUUUUGGCCAAAACAUAUGCCUCACAAAAAAGCUUACUCGAGUUACAAUUUUUAAAAGAAGGAAAAACCCUAGCUAAAGUUCUUAAAGGGGGAUGUCCCAAUUGAAGAUGCCACUGUAGUAACUCAGAGAUGGGAGGUGACGUUGAAGAAGUCUGAACUCUGAAGAGCCUGACUAGAGACCCAUGUUGAGUCAUCAUCAAGUAGAUAUGGACCACCACACACCCUACUAGAGCCAAUCGUUGUCCUUGUCACUAGAUCCUAAAAAACAUAAUGAGACGGGAAAAAUGUGACUUUGCAAUUAAGACGGGAAGUAAGACUAUUAAUAGACAAAAGGUUUGUGGGAAAAGAAGGAAUACGCAAUACAAUAGAGAGGGAUAAACAAGGGGUACAUCUAACAGAGCCCUUUCCCAAAAUAAUGGAAUAAGUCCCGUUAGCCAACUUGACCUUACCAUUACCAAGGUAGGUAGUGUACUGUGAGAAAAGAUGCAAGUAGCCUGGCAUAUGAUCAGAAGCCCCAGAGUCUAUAGUCCAAGGGGUAGAAGGGACAAACAUAGUAUAGCCACAGAAGGAGAUACUUGACCUAGAAGGGGUGAAAUGAGCAGACCUCGCAGUGGUUGGUGCAAAAGACUCUGGAUGUGUCAAAAGGAGACGGAGGGUAGUAAGCUUAUCAGAUGAUAGCGAGGUUGCUGAAGUGCUAGGAGUAGAGUCAGAGUCAGAGUCGGGGCUCUCAGUAUGGCUAGCUUGCCCAAGAGUACCGGCAUGACCCUUCCCUCACCUUUUGCCAGAUGUAUCAGCAAGACGACCAUUAAGCUUCCAACAGUGCUCCUUGGUGUGAUGCUUCUUCUCAUAGUAAUCGCUCUUCAUUGGAGUCCUGGUAGAGUAGCCACUAGACUAUGGAGCUUCACUAAGGGACUGAGUGCUAGAGACAAGUGCAGAUCUCUCAGUAAGAAUGGCAGCAAGCUAUGGAAGCAUAGUGGUACGUCGGUUAUUCUCAAGUUGGAUCACAACAUAGGCUUGAUCCAAGGUAGGAAAGAGGUCACAACUCUAAACCUAGGACCGCAGCUCAUCAGACUCCACAUUCAGACCUGCCAGAAAGGCAUAAACUUGGAUAUUGUCCUCUCGCUUAUGAAAACUAGUGACAACUGUAAGGGUGGAAGGAGUAUACUACUCAUAGAAGUCCAGCUCAGUCCACAGUGUCCGCAGCUUGUAGUAGUACUGUGACAGAGUGAGCCCUCUUUGCCUUAGAUCACGAACCUUUUGGCGAAGCUCAAAUACUUUAGCAUUAUUCUCCACCUGGGAAUAGAUAUCCUGGACAGACUUCCAGAUCUUCGCAGUGGAGUCAAGGAGGAGAUAGCCAUAUGAAAGCUGUGGCAACAUGGAGUUGACAAGGAAGGCCAUAACCAGAGAGUUGGCAAACUCCCACUUGCCAAUCUUAGGACCAGUGGUUGGACUCUUCGAGGUUCCAGUGAGGUACCUGUAAUAGCUAUGAGACUUAAUGGAGAUGCAGACCGAGCGUGACCACAUCAGGUAGUUUGUGCCAUCAAGCUUGAUAGCACAAAAAGGAAAGGUAAGAAGAGCCAUGAUGCCUCUGCCAAUGAAAGUAGAUGAAGAGAGAUAGAGGGAGGCACAAAUGGAAGGAGGCGCUGGAAGAGAGAAACGAGAAAGAAAGAGAUGGAGAAGAGGGAGAACACUUGUGUUUCGGAUCCUAUGGCUCUGAUACCAUGUUGGAUGGGGUAAUGACUUGUGUCAAACAUGAUACCACCUCUAUUUAUAAUAAUUGAGAGAAAGUUCUAGAGAAUUACAAAGACCAUUAAACCCCUUAGGGUCUAUUAAGCAACUGAAAUUUUCCCUAAAGCCCAUUAUUAUAACAAACAUUGGUAGCCAUAGAGCGCUCCAUACUAUUCCAUAGCCAGCAAAGUACUGUAACAUAGCUGUCCAUUCAGGAUACUCAAGAUCAAUCGUAGUGGGUGGUGGUUUAGUUAGGAAAUCCAUUUUUCGUUUGGUAGUGAUAUAAACCCGAACGGUAACCGUGUCUACAAGGGCUUUUGAGUCACCCAUGGCUUGUACGAUACUCUACGGUACCCAUCAAUACGUUUAUUUGCCCGAAUGAAUGAAAGUUUAAGGGUAUCAGUACGUAUCGAACCGUAUCGGCAGAUACAAUACCUAUAUAGCUUGAUAUGUGCAAUCCUUCUCUUUAAAGGGGUAGAUGCCUUUCAUGAAACCAGAAUCGUGAAAAGAGAGACCGUUGUUAUUUGGGAAAAAUCACCAGUACUUCUUGGAUUAAACUGAGAUCAGGCUUCACCAAUAAUAGGCAAGUGCACAACAUCAUCCUAGUCGCUCAUAUUCUGAAAGAACCAAAUCCUAUAUAACUAUUUCAAUUGAAUGCACUUGUCUCUUAAUACGGUGUUAUCCAUUUUAGUUUCACGACCCAAACCCAGAUACAGGUAAAGAUACAACCCUCACGGGCGCUGAUCAAACGAUCGACAAAUACCAACAAACCAUCCAUAACAAGCUUCAUAAAUUCAAAUCUCAAACUAAAUAAUCAACUGUUAUAAAUCUCAAGUGUUCCUACUGGUGGCAAUUUAAGGUAUGUCCCAGUUAAAAUUCGAAAUCUAUAUUAUUAGAGUUUACCUCUGAUUGUCAUCACUACAUCCAUCUAAGAAAACAUAAAUAAUAACUAAUAAAUAAAUCUUUGAGUCCUCGAAUUCCGCUUUAAGCAAUGCUCCAUCUCAAUUAUCUGUGAUUUUAAAAUAAUGGAUUAAGCUAGUUCAAUAAGGGAAAAUAGUAAGAGCACAACGUAGAGCAAACAAUCAAACAAAAACAAUGGUUAGAACAAGCAGUUUAGUUUCUCAAAUCACACUUUUAAUAAAACACGAUCAUUUGUAAAUAUACCUUUUUAUCACACUUUAGCCGGCACUAAGGAAAAUAAGCUGCCGCUGCCCAUAAUAUGAGAGGGAAACUUGACCCCCACAAUCACACAAUCACAUUGUCGUCACCACUAUGACUAGAUAUACACCACUGUGCACAGUAGGUAUAAGUCCCGCAGCUAACGGAACACCCCUCUCUAGUUUGGUAUGGAGCAGUCUAUUUAUCCUCACGCACUUUUUUUUUUUUUUCACUUUCACAAAAUCUCACUUUCACAAAAUCACCUUUCAUAAAAUCACUUUCUUUUAGAAUGCACACAUGUGAAAACACUGGUAAAUCUCCAAAUAAGAAUCAACAUCAAUACACUUCAUACAAUAAUAUUCAUCUCCAUCAAAUAUCAAUCACCUCCAUAAACUCAUGUCACACAUAAACACAAUUCAAAUUAGCAUAAGUUAGCACAUCUCAACGGUACAAGCAUACCAAACAUAACAAUAUAAAAUCAAACCACACACAUGUGGUGUAAUCCCACUAUAAUCCACUUACGUCAGUCUGCAUGUUUCCUACUUUCAUUUUUUGAGCUUUGAAUGCUCAAGUCAAUCACCACCUACAAUUAGGUACACUUCCUAUUAAUCUCCUAGUUCAAUACCAAUUCAAAUACCUCACUUUCCCCUUAAAAGUCAACUAAAAAUACCACCCUCUCAAAUGGUGGUCAAACUUUAGGAAUCAAUCCCCCUCGACACAUAUUAUCACCCUUCUGAAGAUGAGUAUGAUUGGUCGAGUAAUUUAUGAGUAAUUAGAACAGCUCAAAUCUCAAGAUGCAAUUUUCAAAUUUCAGUAAAUCUGAAAUUACUAUUCUGUUGAUCAGAUGCCCACAAAUUCGGAUUGCAACCGCCCAUAUGACAACUCUACUAACCCCCAAAGUAUGCCCAAAAGUUAACUUCUGGAUUAAAAGUAAUUGGGAAAUACAGUUUCAGGUCUCUCAAUUUUCCCCAAUUUGACGGGUUUUUAAGUAACAUUCAAACCGAGAGUUAGAUCCUCUCCCAGAGUGGAUCGAUUCUCACUCUAUGGGAGGGGAACCUAUGGUCAAAAUAUAGGCCUCAACCCAUGGCUAGAUUUGAAGUAAUUCAAAAAUCAAGAUUUGGUCAAGAAUAAACACUUAUAAUUAUCCAAUAAAGAACUGAUGUUGGGGACCUUCGUUGGGCCCAAAUUAUAGUCAAUUGCCCAUCCUAGGUACAAUAUCGAAGCUCUAAAAUCUCAUCUAAAACCGACUAGUAUUGGGUCCCAAAGAACACCCUAUCAGUAUUGGGCCCCACGAUUUGGGUCUUAAGAAAAGAAUAUUAGAUUUGGGUCCAUUAUUGGGUCCCAAGUAAAGAAUAUUAGAUUUGGGUCCCAAGUAAAGAAUCCCACAUAAAGAUCACUAGAUUACCUGAUUAGUUUGAUUUGGGUCCCAAGUGAAUCAUUGAAUCAGUUACUUAGAAUCAAAGUUAACUCCAAGGUUUUGGGGGUGGAAACCAACAACUAUUAGGAAUUAGGGACUACAACCCAGUUCAAGAAUCAUAAUUAGUGAAGAUUUUGACUUACCUGAUGUUUUGGAUCAAAAUAAGAUAGAAGAUCUAUCGAAGUAAGUCCUGCAGCCUCCCUUCUCCAAUUGUAGUACAGAUUACAGCGAAAAAUCCCCAAGAAAAGGUAAAUCUUGAUUCUCUCUCCUCUCUUUCUCCUCCCUUUCUUUCUUUCUUUCUUUCUUUCUCUCCUACGUUCCUAUUUCUUUCCCUCCCUUCCUCUUCUUUUAUAGCUCACAAUCCCCUUUCUCCUACUCCCUCUCUAUCUUUCUUUGUCUCAACCUAGGACAGCAUCUUUCUUUCCUUCUUUUUUUCUAACUCUCUCUCGGGUGGACUCUCUUUCCCCUCCUACGAUUUGCUUAUUUAAGAUGAGGACCACAACAACUUAAAACAAAAGAACAAGAAAGAAUCUUUGAAAUAAAACCCCUCCUUAACUUACUACUAACAGUAACAUGAUUUGAACCUAGGACCUCUAGUUAGAUAAUGUAACAACCACUAGGCUAACCCUCCUUUAGCUGUUAACUAGGCCCACAAGUUAAGUUUUUGAAGUAUAACAUACACAUCAGUCCCUAAAUAUCCCAUUGUCCAUACAGACCCUACAAGUUAAAAAAAAAACAACUAAUAAGUUAUAAAUUUUGAGGCAUUACAUUUAGUGUUUAUGCAUGAUAUUUGUUAUAUAUGUAUAUAUAUAUAUAUUUUUUUUUAUACUCUUUCUUUCUUUUUUUAUUUUUUUGCUUAAGUGUAUAAAAUUAUGUAUCCUGUCCAUUUAUGUGCGUCUCUUAGUGUUCUCCGAUAUGAUACAAUACCCUUUGAUACAUAUCUUAAAUUUAGCCGACCAAUACAGCAACCAAUACCAAUAGUUUAAUCCUUGGUUACAAUAUAUAUAUAUAUAUAUAAUAAAGGGAGGAGGUUAGGUAUGCUGCAGACUUUCUUAGAUUUAGUGGCUCAACUAAUGGGAGGGCUGGGAUAGGAGGGGCAUAGGGGACUUUUCAAAAGGGUAGAGGAGAGAUAUAGACACAGAUCUGGGUAUACUGGCAGCAUACCCAGCCUUUUCCCAUAUAUAAAUUCAGAGAACACUAGGUGCAGCCCCAAUGUAAAAAUCCAAUCACCAGCACAUAAAACAGUAUAUAUAGUGGCUCACUUGAACUGGAAAAAGUGAAUAAAGAUUGGUUCUAACAACUUAGAGAUAAAUCUGAUAGUCAUUCAGAUGCAGAAGUAUAAAUAAAAUCUGAUAAUCAGAUAUAGUAGUGACUGAUUAAGGUCUGAGAACAAUCAGCGAUCCUUAAGGCUACUUUUAAGGAGGGGAUUCAUUCUCUUUUAUUCCAUUUAGCAUCCUUGAACAUAUUAUUUUUGACCUAUCUGGAGGACCUCUCCUUACUGGGGGUUCAAAAGUAUUCUGGGAUCUGUAGGAGGGCCUCUCCUUUGCGGUUGGAUUAAAUAAACGUUACUACAAUCAAGGCAAAUGACACCGAUUGAGAUGUAAAUAGAUGGUUCGAGGAAAAGUGAGGGGAUUAGAAUACACCCUUCUUCCUGAUCCCACAGCAUGUCAGGCAGCACUUUUCUAUUGAGCUGCAGGCUUACAUCCCUAUUAGAAUACACCCUUCUUCCUGACCCUACAGCGUGUCAGGCAGUGCCUUUCUAUAGAGCUGUAGGUACAGUUAUUGGCUGCCUAUCUGAUUCUAUGUGAGGUAGGUCAGUUGAACUAAAGCCUUACAUAAACAAUUUAUAACUUACUUAAUACAGUCUUACAGCCCUGAUGUGAAUUAACUCUGGUAUGAUGAUUUCCAGGGGGCUUUUGUAUGGAGUUGCAAAGCACUGGUUUCAGAG
Long non-coding RNA from Macadamia integrifolia, 9256 nucleotides. RefSeq lists it as uncharacterized. The record is from RefSeq and is a predicted model, not a curated record. The transcript has 2 exons. Lineage: Eukaryota; Viridiplantae; Streptophyta; Magnoliopsida; Proteales; Proteaceae.